Molecule: ribosomal RNA, 209 nt
Filed under: uncultured archaeon
Lineage: Archaea
Description: partial 16S ribosomal RNA
Rfam family: Archaeal small subunit ribosomal RNA
Source: RNAcentral
GGGCCCUACGGGGCGCAGCAGGCGCGAAACCUUUACACUGCACGAACGUGCGAUAAGGGGACUCCGAGUGCGAGGGCAUACAGUCCUCGCUAUUGUGUACCGUAGGGUGGUACACGACCAAGAGCUGGGCAAGACCGGUGCCAGCCGCCGCGGUAAUACCGGCAGCUCGAGUGAUGGCCGAUCUUAUUGGGCCUAAAGCGUCCGUAGCC